This 1543-nucleotide long non-coding RNA is filed under the name Nicotiana tabacum (common tobacco). Its description in RNAcentral is "long non-coding RNA (NTAB_LNC017470)". Lineage: Eukaryota; Viridiplantae; Streptophyta; Magnoliopsida; Solanales; Solanaceae. The record is from RNAcentral.
AGAACUUAAAUGUAUUCCCGCAUUAUACUGGUGGGCGACCUAGAACUGAAUGUAUUUCCCGCAUUAUACUGGUGGGCGACCUAGAACUUAAAUGUAUUCCCGCAUUAUACUGGUGGGCGACCUAGAACUUAAAUGUGUUCCCGCAUUGUACUGUGGGCGACCUAGAACUUAAAUGUAUUCCCGCAUUAUACUGGUGGGCGACCUAGAACUUAAAAGUAUUCCCGCAUUAUACUGGUGGGCGACCUAGAACUUAAAUGUAUUGAAAUUGUUUCCCCGUUCUUCCGAGAAAAUUUUCGACAAUCGGCAGAAAAUUUUCUGCCCCGGUUUUUGGUAACUUCCAUGGCAUUGCAUCUUGUUGCCGUCAUCAAUUCUUUGCUCUCCUGCAACAGACAAAAGGAUUUAGUCAGUUUUAAUCGUGGUGGUAGAGGGUGCCUUUCUGGCGAGCAAUUUUUCUCUCUUCCCCUUUUCUUGCUCUUUGUCCCCAUAAUUGGUUGGCGGGCAAAGUUGCCUGUUGGGGGUCUCUAGCCUGCUGGGGAUUGGUUUUCAAUUUAUCCCCUUUUCUGCUUUCUCUUUAAACACAUGAUGUGGGAGUCUGCUUCUAACUCCCGAAACCACUCCCUUUUGGAGCUUACUUCUUCCAAAAUUUCCGGGCACAAUCUCUGCAUUGCCUGGGACCGGCCUUUAAGACUGUUUGUAUUAUCCUGCAUUGGAUGAAUUCCCCUUUGGUUUCUGGUAAUAAGCUUUGAAAAAUCCUUUUAAGACACAUUUUAGGAAAAGAAAUAAAGAUAUGGAAAAAAGAAAAACUUUCUGAACCAAUAUUUUGUGGGAGGAGACAAUCCAAAGAACUUAUCUGGAGGACACAACUGGUCCCCGUGAUCAUGACGUGCACCAUAGAUUCCCGACCCAGUCUAUUUGUAUCAAUCGAUUUGUCCGACGGUCUGACUUGCUGGGGAUGAUAAAUGGAUGUUUAUCUUGUUGCGAAUGUGGUAGCUUUUGCUGCUCUAUCUUGUCGCCUCAUAGUGCCCUUCGAGGGGUUUUCACUAAUGAGACUCUCUCUUUUCUUUCAUCUCCCGGCGCCUUAUGGUGCCUGUGAAGGUUUUCACCAAUAAGACUCUCUCAUUUCAUAUCCCUUAUCUUACAUCGCCUCUCGGUGCCUGUGAAGGUUUUCACCGAUAAGACUCUCUCAUUUUAUUUCUUUCAAGGAAUCGGGGCGUUGUAGAUACGACCCUCUCUUCUGGAGAUUCUUUUGACUAUCAACUCAUUCCCAGUCUUACGAUCCUCUUCUUUGCUGGGGAUCAGUGUAUUAUUCUCGGCCUUAUUUGCCGGAUUUGGCAUCUCUCGAACAUUGAUCGGGAGGUCUUUUGGAUGUUGACGUUGGUUUUGGUGUGGGAUUGAAGAAAUGCUACAAAAAUGAAAACAAUUUGAAGGGUGAUGUGCUACAACUUUUGGAAUCUAACCUUUGUUGGAACUUAAAACAUAACCUCUGCCCCAGUUUUCUUGCUUGGGGAAUUUAUUUUUUACGCUUAUGUUGAGUUACGUGUGU